AAUCAGAUGAGGGAAGAGAGGAGUCCAGAGGAAAUGAACACAGACGCUUGGCCACGUGGGAUCCAGGUUCUGACUUAUCCCUGCAAAAUACCAAAGAACCCGAGGUAAUUAAAAUAAACAGCAAUAGAGAAACAAACAAAAGCAGCAGCUGAGACUAUGGUGCCCACAGGGGUUGGAAGGAUUUUUAUGCCAAGGCUAAACCGGGUCCAGUGCCAGCACUCAGACCUCAAAGACAGCUGCCUCCUGGAGUCACUGCUCUGUUAACAGGCUCUACAGGAAUCAAGUCUGUUACACUAUGAAGCCCAGGAAAACUAUCUUAAUUUGCUGCACCCAUGGGAGCUGACAGAUUGUAGUGCAAUAAAGUCAAUUUAACAUAUAGCUUCA
Molecule: long non-coding RNA, 384 nt
Filed under: Sus scrofa (pig)
Lineage: Eukaryota; Metazoa; Chordata; Mammalia; Artiodactyla; Suidae
Description: lncRNA (ENSSSCG00070013230.1)
Source: RNAcentral